Molecule: long non-coding RNA, 419 nt
Organism: Phragmites australis (common reed)
Lineage: Eukaryota; Viridiplantae; Streptophyta; Magnoliopsida; Poales; Poaceae
Exons: 2
Source: RefSeq, a predicted model, not a curated record
CCCAAAGUACUGAAAUGAAUCCGUCACCUGUUCCAGCCGGCGGCGGUUCUCACCGCCGUUCCAUGAGGAAGCCGCCGGCGCCCGCCGAUCUCUGACCGUGGGAGGUCUUUUCGAGCACUUACGGCCUCCGGGCUCCGGCUGUCUACGACCUUGCCGUUGUCGAUCAGCACGCUCGACCAAACCACCGUCGCGGAGCACUUUCUGCCUCCCCCGACGCGGCCGGAGCGUUUCCAUCCCCCCGCCACAGCUGCCGGCAACAGCUUCAGCCUUGUCUAACAAGGAUGUCCAGUCGGAUGUUGGUCAAGUUUGGAGGUUGUUGACUACCUGUUUAACUAACUGUUGAUGCAUAAGCAUCAGCUCUAUGAACAAUUGAAGUUUUGACAAUGAAAUCGCAACCACCGAUGUAUUGUGGGCUGUUA